Molecule: long non-coding RNA, 958 nt
Organism: Oryza brachyantha (malo sina)
Lineage: Eukaryota; Viridiplantae; Streptophyta; Magnoliopsida; Poales; Poaceae
Exons: 3
Source: RefSeq, a predicted model, not a curated record
UCCCUUUAUCUUCUCUAGGCCACGGGAUUAGAUGAUAGCACCACCACCCAUCCUCUCUCUCCCUUUAUCUUCUCUAGGCCACGGGAUUAGAUGAUAGCACCACCACCCAUCCUCUCUCUCCCUUUAUCUUCUCUAGGCCACGGGAUUAGAUGAUAGCACCAACAGCAGAAGUGAGGGGAUGCCAUCUCCGACGAAUCUCCGAUGAGUCGUCUCCACUCUAGUGAAAUCGCCCUCCUCCACAACCUAGGUUACCUUCGAUUCUCCAACUCCUGCGUGCGCCAUCGCCCGACCAUGCCGACACCCGGCCUCCCGCGGCGUGGCCUCCUCCAUCCCUUCGCCCCGCUUUGCCCCCGUCAUCAACACCACUGGCCCACCACCACUCCCAAACCCAUGGCUUCGGUGGCGCCGCUGCCUCCCAGGCCAUCCAUGGAGUAUCACUGAUUUGCCAUUUGGUGAGGCGAAUAUCCAUUGCGCCAAUUCUCUAGAGAAGUCUGCAGCAGCAAGAGAUACAAGAGUUUGUUCCCGCAAAGGCUUCGGCUCCACUGUCAUUUUUGACAGCAAGUGGAUUGCUCUAGUCCAGUUUGAUGGCUUAGAUGAUUCAGAGGAACAGGAGUUGAAGAAAUCUAGUUUUCACAAGAGAGGUGCCUAUGUCUCCCAAUCAACCGUGUCUCUUUGAUGAGAUUGAGCUAUGCUCUGAAUAUGUCAUUUAUAUGUGUAAUUCAGGUUACACUCUUCAAUUUUGUGUUGGUUUUGGUUACAUACUUGAUUUUCAGCAAAUUGGACAUGGAAAAUUCAGUGUUGUGUUCAAAGUUUUGAAGAUUACGGAGGGCUGCUUAUAUUGUGUAAAAACGGAUGGCUGCUUAUAUUGUAUAAAAUGGAGUAUCAGGCAACUACAUAAUAAUAGGAAUUCCUUGUAUUUUGCGGCACAAAUUGCUGGAAAUUCCUUGUUUUUUGCCUA